AACGAACGCUGGCGGCAUGCCUAACACAUGCAAGUCGAACGAUAACGUCGGGUGUUGGGGCGCACGGGUGCGGAACGGGAGGGAACAUUCCCGUGUGUUCGGCAUAACUCGUCGAGGGGGGUGCUAAUACCGGACAAUGUCUACGAACCCAAGAUUUAUCGUCUUAGGAUGGGCGCGCGUUGGAUUAGCUAGUUGGUAGCGUAAAAGCCUACCAAGGCUGAGCUACAUAGCUGGUCUGAGAGGAUGGUCAGCCACACUGGGAGUGAGACACGGCCCAGACUCCUACGGGAGGCAGCAGUGGGGAAUAUUGGACACUGGGCGAAAGCCUGAGCCAGCAAGGCCGCGUGAGUGAUGAAUGCCUUAGGGUUGUAAAUCUCUUUUAACCGGGAAGAUAAUGACAGUACCGGGAGAAUAAGCGCCGGCUAACUACGUG
This 433-nucleotide ribosomal RNA is filed under the name uncultured bacterium. RNAcentral's name for it is "partial 16S ribosomal RNA". It matches the Rfam family "Bacterial small subunit ribosomal RNA", at positions 29 to 507 of the family's 1533-position model. The record is from RNAcentral.